This 497-nucleotide ribosomal RNA is filed under the name uncultured bacterium. Its description in RNAcentral is "partial 16S ribosomal RNA". It matches the Rfam family "Bacterial small subunit ribosomal RNA", at positions 28 to 507 of the family's 1533-position model. The record is from RNAcentral.
GAUGAACGCUGGCGGCGUGCCUAAUACAUGCAAGUCGAGCGAACAGAUAAGGAGCUUGCUCCUUUGACGUUAGCGGCGGACGGGUGAGUAACACGUGGAUAACCUACCUAUAAGACUGGGAUAACUUCGGGAAACCGGAGCUAAUACCGGAUAACAUAUUGAACCGCAUGGUUCAAUAGUGAAAGGCGGCUUUGCUGUCACUUAUAGAUGGAUCCGCGCCGUAUUAGCUAGUUGGUAAGGUAACGGCUUACCAAGGCAACGAUACGUAGCCGACCUGAGAGGGUGAUCGGCCACACUGGAACUGAGACACGGUCCAGACUCCUACGGGAGGCAGCAGUAGGGAACCUUCCGCAAUGGGCGAAAGCCUGACGGAGCAACGCCGCGUGAGUGAUGAAGGUCUUCGGAUCGUAAAACUCUGUUAUCAGGGAAGAACAAAUGUGUAAGUAACUGUGCACAUCUUGACGGUACCUGAUCAGAAAGCCACGGCUAACUACGUG